Molecule: ribosomal RNA, 484 nt
Filed under: uncultured bacterium
Lineage: Bacteria
Description: partial 16S ribosomal RNA
Rfam family: Bacterial small subunit ribosomal RNA
Source: RNAcentral
AUUGAACGCUGGCGGCAGGCCUAACACAUGCAAGUCGAGCGGAAGCAGGGAGCUUGCUCCUGGCUUCAGCGGCGGACGGGUGAGUAAUGCCUAGGAAUCUGCCGGGGAGGGGGGGAUAACGUCCGGAAACGGGCGCUAAUACCGCAUACGUCCUGAGGGAGAAAGGGGGGGAGCUUCGGACCUCACGCUCUCAGAUGAGCCUAGGUCGGAUUAGCUAGUUGGUGGGGUAAAGGCCUACCAAGGCGACGAUCCGUAACUGGUCUGAGAGGACGAACAGUCACACUGGAACUGAGACACGGUCCAGACUCCUACGGGAGGCAGCAGUGGGGAAUAUUGGACAAUGGGCGCAAGCCUGAUCCAGCCAUGCCGCGUGUGUGAAGAAGGUCUUCGGAUUGUAAAGCGCUUUUAUUCGGGAGGAAGGGCAUUUAGUUAAUACCUGGCUGUAUUGACGGUACCAAAAGAAUAAGCACCGGCUAACUUCGUG